UACGAACCGUACAAACGUUAUUCGGAAUCACUGGGCUUAAAGGGUGCGUAGGCGGCCAUGUAAGUGAGGUGUAAAAUCCCUCGGCUCAACCGAGGAACUGCGCUUCAUACUGCAUGGCUUGAGGGAGACAGGGGUAAGCGGAACUGAUGGUGGAGCGGUGAAAUGCGUUGAUAUCAUCAGGAACACCGGUGGCGAAGGCGACUUACUGGACAACUGUUGACGCUGAGGUGCGAAAGCGUGGGGAGCAAACAGG
RNAcentral lists this ribosomal RNA (253 nucleotides) under uncultured bacterium. Its description in RNAcentral is "partial 16S ribosomal RNA". It matches the Rfam family "Bacterial small subunit ribosomal RNA", at positions 524 to 776 of the family's 1533-position model. The record is from RNAcentral.